RNAcentral lists this transfer-messenger RNA (385 nucleotides) under Anaerolineae bacterium. It matches the Rfam family "transfer-messenger RNA". Rfam says of the family: Bacterial tmRNA, also known as 10Sa RNA or SsrA, is named for its dual tRNA and mRNA-like properties. Its role is to liberate the mRNA from a stalled ribosome. The record is from RNAcentral. Lineage: Bacteria; Bacillati; Chloroflexota; Anaerolineae.
GGGGAUGAACGGUCUCGACGGGAGAGGCUGGUCCCGGAUGGCGAGCCGAGAGGCGCCGACCUCGUAAAAUCAGCGCAAAAAAUUAAGUGCCAACCGCACUCAGUAUGCUGCUCUUCCUCUGGCUGCCUAGUCAGCGGAAAGCGCACCUGACCUCCUGAAGAGGUCACGUCCACCCCUCCCGCUGGCCGACCGGUGAGGGUGUGGGCGACACAAAGUCGGCCUGCCAUCUGAGAGGCCGCGGCUCAGAUGAAAGACCAUAGCGGCUGGUCAACCGGUGCUUUGGGUCACCUGGAACCCGGUUGACAAGAGGCACAGGUGACUACGCUCGUAGAGGUCCGAGGACCUAAUCUUUCGGACGCGGGUUCGAUUCCCGCCAUCUCCACCA